RNAcentral lists this ribosomal RNA (280 nucleotides) under uncultured Paracoccus sp. RNAcentral describes it as "partial 16S ribosomal RNA". It matches the Rfam family "Bacterial small subunit ribosomal RNA", at positions 113 to 410 of the family's 1533-position model. Lineage: Bacteria; Pseudomonadati; Pseudomonadota; Alphaproteobacteria; Rhodobacterales; Paracoccaceae. The record is from RNAcentral.
ACGCGUGGGAACGUGCCCUUCACUGCGGAAUAGUCCCGGGAAACUGGGUUUAAUACCGCAUACGCCCUUCGGGGGAAAGAUUUAUCGGUGAAGGAUCGGCCCGCGUUGGAUUAGGUAGUUGGUGGGGUAAUGGCCUACCAAGCCUACGAUCCAUAGCUGGUUUGAGAGGAUGAUCAGCCACACUGGGACUGAGACACGGCCCAGACUCCUACGGGAGGCAGCAGUAGGGAAUCUUAGAUAAUGGGGGAAACCCUGAUCUAGCCAUGCCGCGUGAGUGAUG